UGGGGAAUUUUGGACAAUGGGCGCAAGCCUGAUCCAGCAAUGCCGCGUGCAGGAUGAAGGCCUUCGGGUUGUAAACUGCUUUUGUACGGAACGAAAAGCCUCUCUCUAAUACAGGGGGUGAUGACGGUACCGUAAGAAUAAGCACCGGCUAACUACGUGCCAGCAGCCGCGGUAAUACGUAGGGUGCAAGCGUUAAUCGGAAUUACUGGGCGUAAAGCGUGCGCAGGCGGUUUUGUAAGACAGUGGUGAAAUCCCCGGGCUCAACCUGGGAACUGCCAUUGUGACUGCAAGGCUGGAGUGCGGCAGAGGGGGAUGGAAUUCCGCGUGUAGCAGUGAAAUGCGUAGAUAUGCGGAGGAACACCGAUGGCGAAGGCAAUCCCCUGGGCCUGCACUGACGCUCAUGCACGAAAGCGUGGGGAGCAAACAGGAUUAGAUACCCUGGUAGUCCACGCCCUAAAACGAUGUCAACUGGUUGUUGGGGAUUUAUUUCUUCAGUAACGAAGCUAACGCGUGAAGUUGACCGCCUGGGGGAGUACGGCCGCAAGGUUAAAAACUCAAAAUGAAUUGACGGGGUCAUAGCUGUUUCCU
RNAcentral lists this ribosomal RNA (588 nucleotides) under uncultured bacterium. RNAcentral describes it as "partial 16S ribosomal RNA". It matches the Rfam family "Bacterial small subunit ribosomal RNA", at positions 355 to 1375 of the family's 1533-position model. The record is from RNAcentral.